GACACUGACACGGGGUGCCGGGCAUUGGGCCGGGCUGAGAUCCAGACCCGUUGAACCUGUCCGGUUAGCACCGGCGAAGGGAUGUCUCCAUGACUUCAA
Arthrobacter sp. AK-YN10 is the source of this 99-nucleotide non-coding RNA. NCBI's taxonomy places the organism in Bacteria, Bacillati, Actinomycetota, Actinomycetes, Micrococcales, Micrococcaceae. The record is from Rfam.